This 434-nucleotide ribosomal RNA is filed under the name uncultured Ruminococcus sp. Its description in RNAcentral is "partial 16S ribosomal RNA". It matches the Rfam family "Bacterial small subunit ribosomal RNA", at positions 341 to 792 of the family's 1533-position model. The record is from RNAcentral. Lineage: Bacteria; Bacillati; Bacillota; Clostridia; Eubacteriales; Oscillospiraceae.
ACGGGAGGCAGCAGUGGGGAAUAUUGCACAAUGGGCGGAAGCCUGAUGCAGCGAUGCCGCGUGAGGGAAGAAGGUUUUCGGAUUGUAAACCUCUGUCCUCAGGGACGAUAAUGACGGUACCUGAGGAGGAAGCUCCGGCUAACUACGUGCCAGCAGCCGCGGUAAUACGUAGGGAGCGAGCGUUGUCCGGAAUUACUGGGUGUAAAGGGUGCGUAGGCGGGACGGCAAGUCAGAUGUGAAAUGUAUGGGCUUAACCCAUAACCUGCAUUUGAAACUGUUGUUCUUGAGUGAGGUAGAGGUAAGCGGGAUUCCUAGUGUAGCGGUGAAAUGCGUAGAUAUUAGGAGGAACAUCGGUGGCGAAGGCGGCUUACUGGGCUUUUACUGACGCUGAGGCUCGAAAGCGUGGGGAGCAAACAGGAUUAGAUACCCUGGUA